Molecule: ribosomal RNA, 301 nt
Filed under: uncultured bacterium
Lineage: Bacteria
Description: bacterial SSU rRNA
Rfam family: Bacterial small subunit ribosomal RNA
Source: RNAcentral
CCUAGCCUACGGGGCGCAGCAGUGGGGAAUAUUGCACAAUGGGGGAAACCCUGAUGCAGCGACGCCGCGUGAAGGACGAAGUAUUUCGGUACGCAAACUUCUAUCAGCAGGGAAGAAAAUGACGGUACCUGACCAAGAAGCCCCGGCUAACUACGUGCCAGCAGCCGCGGUAAUACGUAGGGGGCAAGCGUUAUCCGGAUUUACUGGGUGUAAAGGGGGCGUAGACGGCCGUGCAAGUCUGAUGUGAAAACCCGGGGCUCAACCCCGGGACGGCAUUGGAAACUGCAUGGAUGGAGUGUCG